AGCUCCAAUAGCGUAUAUUAAGGUUGUUGCAGUUAAAAAGCUCGUAGUUGGAUUUCUGGUACGAUGCGCUUGGCCCGUAUGGUUCUGCCAUACGCGUGUCGACGUGCGUCUGCCAUCCUUCCAGUUAACGGCCGAUACUUCACUGUAUGGGUCGCGAUCUGGAUCUUUUACUUUGAAAAAAUUAGAGUGUUUAAAGCAAGCUUGCGCUAUGAAUACAUUAGCAUGGAACUAUAAUUUAGGACUUUAUUCCUAUUUUAUUGGUUUCUAGGAGUGACGUAAUGAUUGAUAGGGAUAGUUGGGGGUGCUAGUAUUCAUCGGCCAGAGGUGAAAUUCUUGGAUUCGAUGAAGACUAACUAAUGCGAAAGCAUUCACCAAGGAUGUCUUUU
This 386-nucleotide ribosomal RNA is filed under the name uncultured eukaryote. Its description in RNAcentral is "SSU rRNA". It matches the Rfam family "Eukaryotic small subunit ribosomal RNA", at positions 587 to 972 of the family's 1831-position model. The record is from RNAcentral.